Molecule: long non-coding RNA, 1842 nt
Filed under: Salmo salar (Atlantic salmon)
Lineage: Eukaryota; Metazoa; Chordata; Actinopteri; Salmoniformes; Salmonidae
Description: lncRNA (ENSSSAG00000103252.1)
Source: RNAcentral
CGCGUCAUUCCGCUUUCUGAAGGCUGUAGAGAGCCAAUGGAAGCCUUAGAAAGUGUCACAUAACAGCUCAGAUGCUGUAAUUUUGAUAGAGAUGCAACAGAAGGACUACAAAUUGUCAGACAGGCCACUUCCUGCAUGGAAUCUUCUCAGAUUUUUGCCUGCCAUAUGAGUUCUGUUGUACUCACAGACACCAUUCAAAGAGUUUUAGAAACCUUAGAGUGUUUUCUAUCCAAAUCUACUAAUUAUAUGCAUAUUCUAGUUUCUGGGCAAGAGUAGUAACCAGAUUAAAUCAGGUACGUUUUUUAUCCGGCCGUGAAAUUACUGCCCCCUAUCCACAACAGGUUUUAACAGUGAGAAUGGCAGAAUGGUGAACUUACUAAAUGAAAUGAGAGUUUGACUGCGUGAUAUUAUGUUGCUUCUUGUGUAAAUAUUUUCUGUCUGGAUUGUAAUGAUUUGUUGAAUUCAAAGUCAUUUCUUGUUAGGCUGAGUUCUAGUAAUUGUAAUAAUGCCUCAUUAGGUCCAUCUAUGAAAAAUGUUUUACAUUUCUCUAAGACAAGUUGAUGUCAAUGUUGGUAUGCAAAGAGUCAAUAUCAAUUGAGAAAAAAACAGUUUCUUGAGGCACACAAAUUUAUUUCAGUUUUGUCACAAAUUCAUACGUGUCUGAAGCUUUGAUGUUUCUGUGACAGAGGAUUUAUAAAAUAAUCUAAGUACUCAGCUAUUCUAUAUGAUUGCGAGCCACAAUCCGAUACAAUCGGCCUACAACAUGGAACCUCAGAAGGGAUUGUCCAAGUCUCAGGAGUUUUAUGGAUGUUAGGCAACAAAUUAAAUUGUCUGGGGCGUGGGGUAUCUGGUCCAUACUGCCCAUUUGGGGUGGCCAAGGGACCGAAGGUUGGAGGAGUAUUUAGGUCCUCUCUGUCGUAGGGUUUGUUGGUGGGUUGUAGUGGGUUUAUUGUAGUUGAGGUUGAUGAGAGGCUUGAUUGGAGAAUGGAUGGGUUGAAACACAGGAGGGCUGUUGCCUCCGUGUGUUUUUGUUGCUCCCUCGAUGGCUAGUGCCUUGGGGCCCAUUGCUGGGUCCGCCCUUAGCUUUGUAGCUUGUUGAGUAGAGUGUUGAUUGGAGUCUGUCGUGUCGUUUUUUAUGAUGGGAUGUGGUAGGUGCCGGUGUUGGGUUGGUCUGCAAUGUCAGAGGUUUUUGGAUGGUGAUGGUGGUGAUGGGAGCACAUUGAGGAUGAGAAGGUGGAGGAGGAGAGGGAUGAUGAAGAUGAGGCGGCGGCGGAGGUGAGGAGGAGGUGGCACGGUAGUGGUUGUAGUGGUGGUCUUCUUCCUUGUGGAGGGUAGUGGUGCCUCUUGUGUCUGGGUUGAGUGGGGUCUGGUGGCUGUUGUGUUCUCUCUUCUAGCCUGCUGGGAGAGUUCUGUCACAACACGCAUGAGGAGGGCUUUGUCAAGGGUAUCUGGAUCCUCUGGAGCCGGUGGAGAUGGUGGUCUGGUGGAGUGAAGAGGUGAUAGUGGGGUCCGGAGAGGACUGGAGGGCUGGUGGAGUGAAGAGGUGAUAGUGGGGGUCCAGAGAGGACUGGAGGGCUGGUGGAGUGAAGAGGUGAUAGUGGGGGUCCGGAGAGGACUGGAGGGCUGGUGGAGUGAAGAGGUGAUAGUGGGGGUCCGGAGAGGACUGGAGGGCUGGUGGAGUGAAGAGGGGAUAGUGGGGGUCCGGAGAGGACUGGAGGGCUGGUGGAGUGAAGAGGUGAUAGUGGGGGUCCAGAGAGGACUGGAGGGCUGGUGGAGUGAAGAGGUGAUAGUGGGGGUCCGGAGAGGACUGGAGGGCUGGUGGAGUGAAGAGGUGAUAGUGGG